GGGCCCGCACAAGCGGUGGAGCAUGUGGUUCAAUUCGACGCAACGCGAAGAACCUUACCCAGGCUCGAACGGCAUUGGACAUCCUGCGAAAGCAGGCUCCCGCAAGGGCCGAUGUCGAGGUGCUGCAUGGCUGUCGUCAGCUCGUGUCGUGAGAUGUUGGGUUAAGUCCCGCAACGAGCGCAACCCUUGUCCGCUGUUGCCAUCACGUUAUGGUGGGCACUCUGCGGAGACUGCCGGUGAUAAACCGGAGGAAGGUGGGGAUGACGUCAAGUCAGCAUGGCCUUUAUGUCUGGGGCUACACACGUGCUACAAUGGCCGGUACAAACCGUCGCAAAACCGCAAGGUCGAGCUAAUCGGAGAAAGCCGGUCUCAGUUCGGAUUGCAGGCUGCAACUCGCCUGCAUGAAGUUGGAAUCGCUAGUAAUCGCGGAUCAGCACGCCGCGGUGAAUACGUUCCCGGGCCUU
Molecule: ribosomal RNA, 464 nt
Filed under: uncultured bacterium
Lineage: Bacteria
Description: bacterial SSU rRNA
Rfam family: Bacterial small subunit ribosomal RNA
Source: RNAcentral